AUUGAACGCUGGCGGCAUGCUUUACACAUGCAAGUCGAACGGUAACAGGGAGCUUGCUCCGCUGACGAGUGGCGAACGGGUGAGUAAUAUAUCGGAACGCGCCCAAGAGUGGGGGAUAACGUAGCGAAAGUUACGCUAAUACCGCAUACGAUCCAAGGAUGAAAGCAGGGGACCUUCGGGCCUUGUUCUCCUGGAGCGGCCGAUAUCUGAUUAGCUAGUUGGUGAGGUAAAGGCUCACCAAGGCGACGAUCAGUAGCUGGUCUGAGAGGACGACCAGCCACACUGGAACUGAGACACGGUCCAGACUCCUACGGGAGGCGGCAGUGGGGAAUUUUGGACAAUGGGGGCAACCCUGAUCCAGCAAUGCCGCGUGAGUGAAGAAGGCCUUCGGGUUGUAAAGCUCUUUUGUCAGGGAAGAAAAGGGUACGGCUAAUAUCCGUGCCUCAUGACGGUACCUGAAGAAUAAGCACCGGCUAACUACGUGCCAGCCGCCGCGGUAA
This 500-nucleotide ribosomal RNA is filed under the name uncultured bacterium. RNAcentral's name for it is "partial 16S ribosomal RNA". It matches the Rfam family "Bacterial small subunit ribosomal RNA", at positions 30 to 523 of the family's 1533-position model. The record is from RNAcentral.